AAUAUGGCCAAAUGGUGGAACUGAAUCCCCAUUGUGGUUGCUGAGAUGGGUGAUUUUACGUAGCAUUAUAGAAUUUAGAAAUUUAUUUUUAUGUGUGUGCUGUUCCUUAAUCUGUGUUCUAUAACUCUUAGACCAAUAGUUACAGCUUUUCUUUCAUUUUCUAGAUUACUAUUUUUAAUGAAGGAUGUACCCAACAUACCUUUCUGGAUUCUAAAUAAUGUACAGAAACUUAAUUGGCUACAUUUAAUACAGUACUUAUUUAAGGAAUAUUGUUGUUCUAUCUUGGUUUUAUUUCUCUUCUAAGAUGUUACAUAAGCCUAGGUCUGCAAGAAGUGCACUUGUACUAAAGAAAAACAUUUGCUCUCUCUCUCUCUUUUCUCCCCCACGCAAAAGGAGCAAGAUGCUUGAGCUGCAAUAAUAAUCCACAGAUAAGAAGUCUUUAUCUGGAGUACUUCUAUUCCUUCAUCUUCAGCUAGCAUAAGUCUGCACCGCCAGGCACCAUCGCGAUUACUUUCUGUGCAGUUCUCUCCUCGACAAACUCAGGAACCAUUUGUCUUCUUCUCUGAGUUCCACCUUAUUCAGAAUCUCCAAAAUACCCACAAAGAUCAAUCACGUCAGUGGAUUAGAAUAUUUGAUAAAGUGAUAGGCAUCUGUCUAUUCCAUCCCUUUAACAACAUCUGUAUCCUGAGUAACCGCUUCUGCUUCAAGCGAAUAAAAGGGAUGGUAAAAUCGC
This is a non-coding RNA of Pelobates cultripes (western spadefoot toad), 733 nucleotides long. The record is from the annotation of a GenBank genome assembly. NCBI's taxonomy places the organism in Eukaryota, Metazoa, Chordata, Amphibia, Anura, Pelobatidae.